UGCGAUGAAAAGGAGGGGGGCAACGAUCGGCCGAGUAUUAUGAUGCAAAAUUUCAGAGAAUGCUUAGAUGAUUGUGGCCUUGUUGAUUUAGGGUAUGUGGGAGAUAAAUUCACAUGGAGAAGGGGAGAUAUAAGAGAACGACUUGAUCGGGCUGUAUGCAAUGAUGCAUGGAUGAACAAGUUCCCCUUCACAGCGGCUGUUAAUGAGCAGCAUGUACAUUCUGACCAUAGACCGCUUGUGAUUGAUACUGAUUACUACGACGGGAAACAAAUGAAGAGAUCGGCUGGAGGUGUGAAGUUUGAAGCUCGCUGGCUCCAAGAAGAAACAGUAAAUGAGAUUGUCAAAACGGCUUGGAAGAGAGCCAAACUCGCAGGUAUUGGUCCAUCCCUUGCUAAUCGGACUCGUGCAGUUCAUGCAGAUCUCCACCAGUGGGAUAAGGAGAUUCUGGGAGGUCCUAAAAAACGUAUAAAGAAGCUAAAGAGAUAG
Molecule: ribosomal RNA, 486 nt
Filed under: Triticum aestivum (bread wheat)
Lineage: Eukaryota; Viridiplantae; Streptophyta; Magnoliopsida; Poales; Poaceae
Description: partial small subunit ribosomal RNA
Source: RNAcentral